AUUGAACGCUGGCGGCAGGCCUAACACAUGCAAGUCGGACGGUAGCACAGAGGAGCUUGCUCCUCGGGUGACGAGUGGCGUACGGGUGAGUAAUGUCUGGGGAUCUGCCCGAUAGAGGGGGAUAACCACUGGAAACGGUGACUAAUACCGCAUAACGUCGCAAGACCAAAGAGGGGGACCUUCGGGCCUCUCACCAUCGGAUGACCCCAGAGGGGAUUAGCUAGUAGGCGGGGUAACGGCCCACCUAGGCGACGAUCCCUAGCUGGUCUGAGAGGAUGACCAGCCACACUGGAACUGAGACACGGUCCUGACUCCUACGGGAGGCAGCAGUGGGGAAUAUUGCACAAUGGGCGCAAGCCUGAUGCAGCCAUGCCGCGUGUAUGAAGAAGGCCUUCGGGUUGUAAAGUACUUUCAGCGGGGAGGAAGGCGAUGUGGUUAAUAACCGCAUUGAUUGACGUUACCCGCAGAAGAAGCACCGGCUAACUCCGUGCCAGCAGCCGCCGUAA
RNAcentral lists this ribosomal RNA (506 nucleotides) under uncultured bacterium. Its description in RNAcentral is "partial 16S ribosomal RNA". It matches the Rfam family "Bacterial small subunit ribosomal RNA", at positions 29 to 523 of the family's 1533-position model. The record is from RNAcentral.